This 298-nucleotide ribosomal RNA is filed under the name Pseudaetideus armatus. Its description in RNAcentral is "partial 28S ribosomal RNA". It matches the Rfam family "Eukaryotic large subunit ribosomal RNA", at positions 666 to 944 of the family's 3401-position model. Lineage: Eukaryota; Metazoa; Arthropoda; Copepoda; Calanoida; Aetideidae. The record is from RNAcentral.
CCAAGGAGUCUGACAUGUGCGCAAGCCGUCGCGCUACUCAAGCGCAGAAGGCGCAGUGAAAGCGUUUUUUUUUAAAUAUCGUUGGGAUCCCCGUUCAAGGGGGCGCACCAACCGUCCGCCUACUCAGUUUCCGUUCUGUGUGGCGGAACGUGAGCGUACACGUCGGGACCCGAAAGGUGGUGAACUAUGCCUGGGCAGGACGAAGCCAGAGGAAACUCUGGUGGAGGUCCGUAGCGAUUCUGACGUGCAAAUCGAUCGUCGGACCUGGGUAUAGGGGCGAAAGACUAAUCGAACCAUC